GUUCCAUCAGUACACCACAGACCUCUGGAAUAUUUGCAAUCCCCAACUCCUCGAUUAGUCUGCCUUGUAUCUCCUAGACCGGAUAUUCUCUUCACCCCCCAUUAUUUUCAUCAUAUUGCAUGGAAUCCUGCAGGGAACCAGGGCCAAUGUAGACAAAUCCCUGGAUGGGGACAUAGCCCUCAGGCUCACUGGUAUUCAUGCCAGGCACUGGAAUGUAAGACUCCAUAACGCUCCUCCAGAAACAUUAUGUCCUGAAUCCAGCACCUAAAUAUC
This is a non-coding RNA of Pelobates cultripes (western spadefoot toad), 273 nucleotides long. The record is from the annotation of a GenBank genome assembly. NCBI's taxonomy places the organism in Eukaryota, Metazoa, Chordata, Amphibia, Anura, Pelobatidae.